AGCUUUGCGCAGUGGCAGUAUCGUAGCCAAUGAAGUUUAUCUGAGGCGCGAUUAUUGCUAAUUAGAAAUGCUAGAAAGAAAUCUAUAAAAAAUGAUGAUUUAAAGUACAAUUU
Molecule: small nuclear RNA, 113 nt
Filed under: Erinaceus europaeus (western European hedgehog)
Lineage: Eukaryota; Metazoa; Chordata; Mammalia; Eulipotyphla; Erinaceidae
Description: U4 spliceosomal RNA
Rfam family: U4 spliceosomal RNA
About the family: U4 small nuclear RNA (U4 snRNA) is a component of the major U2-dependent spliceosome. The structure of U4 snRNA from yeast and human has been reported. U4 snRNA presents a k-turn RNA motif in the 5p-SL related to recognition of Snu13 protein.
Source: Rfam by way of RNAcentral